RNAcentral lists this transfer RNA (75 nucleotides) under Mycobacterium tuberculosis RGTB423. RNAcentral's name for it is "tRNA-Pro (GGG) (tRNA-Pro-GGG-1-1)". It matches the Rfam family "tRNA". From Rfam's summary of the family: Transfer RNA (tRNA) molecules are approximately 80 nucleotides in length. Their secondary structure includes four short double-helical elements and three loops (D, anti-codon, and T loops). Lineage: Bacteria; Bacillati; Actinomycetota; Actinomycetes; Mycobacteriales; Mycobacteriaceae. The record is from RNAcentral.
CGGGCUGUGGCGCAGUUUGGUAGCGGCACUUGACUGGGGGUCAAGUGGUCGCAGGUUCAAAUCCUGUCAGCCCGA